Molecule: ribosomal RNA, 488 nt
Filed under: uncultured bacterium
Lineage: Bacteria
Description: bacterial SSU rRNA
Rfam family: Bacterial small subunit ribosomal RNA
Source: RNAcentral
AUUGAACGGCUGGCGGCGAUGCCUUACACAUGCAAGUCGAACGGCAGCACGGGAGCAAUCCUGGUGGCGAGUGGCGAACGGGUGAGUAAUAUAUCGGAACGUGCCCAGUCGUGGGGGAUAACGUAGCGAAAGCUACGCUAAUAACCGCAUACGAUCUACGGAUGAAAGCGGGGGAGUCGCAAGACCUCGCGCGAUUGGAGCGGCCGAUAUCAGAUUAGCUAGUUGGUGGGGUAAAAGCUCACCAAGGCGACGAUCUGUAGCUGGUCUGAGAGGACGACCAGCCACACUGGAACUGAGACACGGUCCAGACUCCUACGGGAGGCAGCAGUGGGGAAUUUUGGACAAUGGGCGCAAGCCUGAUCCAGCAAUGCCGCGUGCAGGAUGAAGGCCUUCGGGUUGUAAACUGCUUUUGUACGGAACGAAACGGUGAGCUCUAAUAAAGCUUGCUAAUGACGGUACCGUAAGAAUAAGCACCGGCUAACUACGUG